RNAcentral lists this transfer RNA (82 nucleotides) under Ipomoea nil (Japanese morning glory). It matches the Rfam family "tRNA". Rfam says of the family: Transfer RNA (tRNA) molecules are approximately 80 nucleotides in length. Their secondary structure includes four short double-helical elements and three loops (D, anti-codon, and T loops). Lineage: Eukaryota; Viridiplantae; Streptophyta; Magnoliopsida; Solanales; Convolvulaceae. The record is from Rfam by way of RNAcentral.
GUGGAGAUGGCCGAGUUGGUCUAAGGCACCAGAUUAAGGUUCUGGUCGGAAAGGGCGUGGGGUUCAAAUCCCACUCUCCACA